RNAcentral lists this long non-coding RNA (560 nucleotides) under Setaria viridis. RNAcentral describes it as "long non-coding RNA (SVIR_LNC002382)". The record is from RNAcentral. Lineage: Eukaryota; Viridiplantae; Streptophyta; Magnoliopsida; Poales; Poaceae.
UUGGAAGGGAUAUAAAGGCGGGUACCGUGUGUGUGGAGGCAGGGCACACAUGUGGGCCCCCGCACGGUCGCACCAUAGUGGGUUCGUGUACCUGCACUGCAUGUACGUUCAUACGCUUGUGCAUGUACAUGCCUUGGCAGAGUGCGAAUGCGUAUGUCAAUACAAGGACAUUCUUGCUCGAGUCUCUGUCAAAGAAACAAAGGUCAGGUUGACAUGGCGAUAAUUACGGUGGAUCUAGAGAUUUAGGGGGACAUCUAUCCAAUGUAGAGCUAGAAGCCUUAUUUGAAAGUUCUCGAAUGAAAAUCCAAAGGAGAUACGAAGUGUAAGCCUGUAGCUGGCCCUUAUAAAUAACUUUAAACGUGUGCAGAGAAGUUUGUUUUCAACUAAUUUAUUUGUCCUUAAUUUUAUAUAUUUAAGAAUAGAGGGAUAGUUACUUACACAUACACAGACCUGAUAUGUUGGGCCUACUUGUUGUAGUUGCUAUUCAAUAGUUCUUGUUUGGUUAGUCGAUGCAUUUUAGACUAACUAGUACAUCAAUCCGUGCUUUGCACGAACUUGUA